UACGAAAGGGGCGAGCGGUGUUCGGAAUUACUGGGCGUAAAGCGCACGUAGGCGGCUUGGUAAGUUGGGGGUGAAAUCCCAGGGCUCAACCCUGGAACUGCCUCCAAAACUGCUAGGCUAGAGGAUGCGAGAGGUUGGCGGAAUUGCGAGUGUAGAGGUGAGAUUCGUAGAUAUUCGGAUGAACACCAGUGGCGAAGGCGGCCAACUGGCGCAUUUCUGACGCUGAGGUGCGAAAGCGUGGGGAGCAGACAGG
This 253-nucleotide ribosomal RNA is filed under the name uncultured bacterium. RNAcentral's name for it is "partial 16S ribosomal RNA". It matches the Rfam family "Bacterial small subunit ribosomal RNA", at positions 524 to 776 of the family's 1533-position model. The record is from RNAcentral.